GAUGAACGCUGGCGGCGUGCUUAACACAUGCAAGUCGAACGGAAAGGCUCCUGCUUGCAGGGGCACUCGAGUGGCGAACGGGUGAGUAACACGUGGGUGAUCUGCCCUGCACUUCGGGAUAAGCCUGGGAAACUGGGUCUAAUACCGGAUAGGACCAUCGUUUAGUGUCGGUGGUGGAAAGUUUUUUCGGUGUGGGAUGAGCUCGCGGCCUACCAGCUUGUUGGUGGGGUAAUGGCCUACCAAGGCGUCGACGGGUAGCCGGCCUGAGAGGGUGUACGGCCACAUUGGGACUGAGAUACGGCCCAGACUCCUACGGGAGGCAGAAGUGGGGAAUAUUGCACAAUGGGCGCAAGCCUGAUGCAGCGACGCCGCGUGGGGGAUGACGGCCUUCGGGUUGUAAACUCCUUUCGCCAGGGACGAAGCGAAAGUGACGGUACCUGGAUAAGAAGCACCGGCUAACUACGUG
RNAcentral lists this ribosomal RNA (466 nucleotides) under uncultured bacterium. RNAcentral describes it as "partial 16S ribosomal RNA". It matches the Rfam family "Bacterial small subunit ribosomal RNA", at positions 28 to 507 of the family's 1533-position model. The record is from RNAcentral.